Molecule: ribosomal RNA, 395 nt
Filed under: uncultured eukaryote
Lineage: Eukaryota
Description: SSU rRNA
Rfam family: Eukaryotic small subunit ribosomal RNA
Source: RNAcentral
AGCUCCAAUAGUGUAUACUAAUGUUGCUGCAGUUAAAAAGCUCGUAGUCGAACUUCUGACCUGUCAAACUCGCACAGCUGUUCAAAGAAUAGCUUGUCGCGAAUCGUUUGUGGGCCAUCUUUCUGGAGAGUGCUUCUGCCCUUGAUUGGGUUGGCUGUACAAUUCAGAGCAUUUACUGUGAGCAAAUGGGAGUGUUCAAAGCAAGCUUUUUUAAUGCCUGAACCGUUUAGCAUGGAAUAAUAAAAUAUAACUCUGGUCGUAUUUUGUUGGCUUAUACAAUUAGAGUAAUGAUAGAAAGGGAUAGUUGGGGGUGCUCAUAUUCAUGGGGUAGCGGUGAAAUGCAUUGAUCCUCUGAAGAUGAACUAAUGCGAAAGCAUUCACCAAGGAUAUCUUCU